This 738-nucleotide long non-coding RNA is filed under the name Vitis vinifera (wine grape). RNAcentral describes it as "long non-coding RNA (VVIN_LNC000182)". Lineage: Eukaryota; Viridiplantae; Streptophyta; Magnoliopsida; Vitales; Vitaceae. The record is from RNAcentral.
UGUUGCUCUGCCAGUUUUGGCCCCAGUUCCUGGACAAUGACUGCCAACCAGUCCUUGACCCUUUGAUUGCCACAGCAUGGACAUCACCAGCUCCACCAACGUUUGUGAUGAGGACUAGGUUGAAGUAAGAGUGGCCAUUGAUGGUAAACCUUAUGCCUCCCCUCCUGCUGCAGGGUACCCUACAAAAGCCCAACAAGAAAUAAGAUUACUCCACCCACCCCCUUCAAGAUAAAAAAACAAAAUGAAAUACAACAGUUUGGUUUUCCCUGACAAGGGAAAGAUACUAGACAUUACUAGCAGGACCAGUUUUUGUAUUAUUAGAUUUAAUUUUCUUAAGGGUAGCUUAGUAACCCUCUACCCCAAUUGAAAAGGGGUAAAGUCACCUCUUGUGAAGGGACCAAAAAAAAAAAAAGGCAAGAAAAUAGCUGAAGUAUUAACUUGAUGGCAUGCAAGAAGCUGCAGUGAGCAUACCUUCUGUAGGAGACGGGGACAAUCCCAGCUCUGAAUUGGGCAAUGUGUUGGAAGACAGGCUCAGAGAGAUCAAAGUGUUGCAGAGGAGGGUUACACCACCCUCCUGCAUUGUUUGAGAGGGCAUUGUUUGGUGGACAGAAAUUGGUGGCUGUGACCACAAUGGAGCCAGGCAGGCACCAUUUUGGGUCAUUCACGCACCUAAUCUCAUAGCAAGAUCCACAGCUCAAUCCACUGUUGAACAGAGCUGUGCUCAAAGCUGCUGUGUUU